GAAGGCCAGUGUUGGUGGUGGUGCUCCUUCCCUGCUCCCACAUCUGGCUGUGUUUGCGACCGGCAGUGGCCGGAAAAAUUAAGGCUUUUCGGGAUCGCCGAGAAGGAAAGACCGGGCGGAUGCAAGCAAGAAGGGAGACGCUAGGGCUUCUUUCCUCACCCAGGUGGGUCCUCUUUAUUUUACUGCUUCCUUCUGCUUCCUCUUCGCGUUGCUACAUUGAGGAAGAGGCUACGACAGGGCCUCUAUUUCCCUCCUCUCGCUGGGAGGCUGUGAUUUCUGGUCUCGUUCAUACGCUGGAUCGAAGACACGGCUCGUCCUUUCUGUGAUUUUCUCGUCGGGAAACUGUUCAUCGUACGCGCUGUUGUAUCUGUGACGAUCAAGCGUCGGGGUGCAAAAUGUCAUGUGUUCUACCAUAUGAUUCUUGUUCAAAGUUGUUUCCUCGCACUAGCCAAAAGUAAAGAUAGGGCUUCAACAUAACAAUAUACCAUGCUUUGAUUUGACACAAAGGCCAAGGGUAUCGAUGGAUUCAUGCUGUUCUCAUCUAGUGGGAGAAGUUUACACUACAGAGUGAAUAUGUUCUAGCGCCAAAGGAUCUGGGGAAUCCUGAUCUGUUGUUUCCUCUCCGACGCCAUUGAAUGCAGCUGUUGUGUGCAAAAGCAAUCUAAUAAGAAGUGGGAAAUUAGUUGACCAUAGAGUUCAGAGCAGUUUUGGCUUUCAACAGCCCUCGGUAAUCAAAAUCUUUUCCAGUCUGAAUCUCAUUUAGCUUGUGAUCUGACACACUUUCAGUACUGCAUUGGGCAGUUCAGCUGAUUUCAUUUGAAAGAGGAUGUGUGGAUCCUAACAAAUCUCGAUUUGGUCAAAGUAGAGGUCUUCCCCUUUUUCUUAAUCUCUCUCAGCCAAAGCCUCAUGUAAAAAACUUCCUAGACUGAGACUUGAGUCAUGUAUAAAUCCUCAAGUCCGACGACAGGUGAUGAUACGAAGGCUGCUGCUGAAUCUUCCUGGACUGAUACUUGAGGGGCUAAAAGAUUGGCAGAGCCAUCUGAUUGCAAGACUGAGGCUCAACUCUUUGGGGUCGUCAUUCAUCCAAGGCAGGUUGCUGAAAUUUCACAAAAUGAAGCUUCUGGAUCUAAGGAAGCUACCGAUUUCGGGCCCCUGCCGAUUCCCUCAAGUCUGCUAGUGAC
RNAcentral lists this long non-coding RNA (1181 nucleotides) under Spirodela polyrhiza (greater duckweed). Its description in RNAcentral is "long non-coding RNA (SPOL_LNC002433)". Lineage: Eukaryota; Viridiplantae; Streptophyta; Magnoliopsida; Alismatales; Araceae. The record is from RNAcentral.